AAAUCAGAUAUGACAGUGGGUUAUAAGAAUGAGGGAUUGCUACCAGCAUACAAGGUAAAAACUGCUGGUUCCUAUGAAAAAUGAGAAGGCUCAGUCCCAGGACUGUGAGCUAGAAGAGGUGACCAGUUGUUCUUAAGGAAGUCAAUUCAAAUGAUGUUAUACAACAGAAAAAUGCAAGCUUCUGCUCUGCUGUCUCUCCUGAAAGUUUGACUCGUUGGAUGGAAGCAUGAAUGCUAUUUAAGAAUCAUUAACAGAAAGACAAAAAAAAGAAAAAAAAAAUUGGCUAAAAGAUCUAGUUAAUUAUCUUUUCGGAAACAUUUUAAGCUGAUAUUCUAUUUUUAUCUACAUAAAUAUCUAUUCGUUAUGGUGGUUGGAAACAGGAAGCAGGCUCUGUCACUAAGGACAGGUUAUUUGACCUCUAAUCCUCAAUGACCUUCUCGGUAAGUUGGGGAGAAAACGGGUUAUCUCCUCCACACGGUUAGCGUGAACAUUAUUAAGUGAGAUCAGGUAAAGUACCUAACAUGGAUUCUCUUUUGUGUCUUUUUAGGGCUGUACCUGCAGCAUGUGGAAGUUCCCAGGCUAGGGGUUGAAUCAGAGCUGCAGCUGCUGGCCUACACCACAGCCACAGCCACACCAGAUCCAAGCCGCAUCUGCGACCUACACCACAGCUCACAGCAGUGCCAGAUCCUUAACCCACUGAGUGAGGCCAGGGAUGGAACCUGCAUCCUUAUAAAUCCUGGUCAGGUUCAUUACCGUUGAGCCACAAUGACACAGAUUUAUGGGAAGCUCUCAAUAAAUGAUAGUUAUUAUAAGGAAGUAAUAACUCCGUUAUAGUUCACCUAUACUCAGUAUUCAACUUGAACAAUAUUCAAACUUUGACCUACAAAACAGAAUUUCAUAUGGUUUAACUUACUAUUACCAUCAUCAUAUUUUUCUGUAAUUGAUAUUCAUGUUUUCACAGUGUAAACUUCCAAUCCUUUAUAUGUCAAAAGAGACUUCAUCUGCAUUGAAUAAUUUUUCUUAAAGGGAAUUGUUACAGAUGGUGCUCUGAAAAACAUCAGUAGUCCUGUAUUUUUAUCCACCAUUUUAAAGCUAGUCUUUUUAUGUCAAGAUAUUAAGUUAUUUCAUGAUUUUUUAUUUAGGAGUUCCUGUUGUGAUGCAGCAGAAGUGAAUCUGACUAGUACCCAUGAGGACGCAGGUUCGAUCCCUGGCCCUGCUCAGUGGGUUAAGGAUCCAUCAUUGGCCAUAGGCUGUGGUAUAGGUCCAAGACGAGGCUCGGAUCUGGCGUGGCUGUGUGGCUGUGGUGUGGGC
This 1311-nucleotide long non-coding RNA is filed under the name Sus scrofa (pig). RNAcentral describes it as "lncRNA (ENSSSCG00030048139.1)". The record is from RNAcentral. Lineage: Eukaryota; Metazoa; Chordata; Mammalia; Artiodactyla; Suidae.